RNAcentral lists this ribosomal RNA (476 nucleotides) under uncultured bacterium. RNAcentral describes it as "bacterial SSU rRNA". It matches the Rfam family "Bacterial small subunit ribosomal RNA", at positions 409 to 902 of the family's 1533-position model. The record is from RNAcentral.
AGAAGUAUUUCGGUAUGUAAAGCUCUAUCAGCAGGGAAGAAAAUGACGGUACCUGACUAAGAAGCACCGGCUAAAUACGUGCCAGCAGCCGCGGUAAUACGUAUGGUGCAAGCGUUAUCCGGAUUUACUGGGUGUAAAGGGAGCGUAGACGGAUGGGCAAGUCUGAUGUGAAAACCCGGGGCUCAACCCCGGGACUGCAUUGGAAACUGUUCAUCUAGAGUGCUGGAGAGGUAAGUGGAAUUCCUAGUGUAGCGGUGAAAUGCGUAGAUAUUAGGAGGAACACCAGUGGCGAAGGCGGCUUACUGGACAGUAACUGACGUUGAGGCUCGAAAGCGUGGGGAGCAAACAGGAUUAGAUACCCUGGUAGUCCACGCCGUAAACGAUGACUACUAGGUGUCGGGUGGCAAAGCCAUUCGGUGCCGCAGCAAACGCAAUAAGUAGUCCACCUGGGGAGUACGUUCGCAAGAAUGAAACUC